GAUUAUAUAGCCAAAGGGAAUAAGCCGCCCUAAAAUCAUCCCAAGUGCUGCUAAUGUGGCUACUAAGUGGAAAAUCCCAUGGAUAAUUGCUGACAUGGUGACAGAAAUUAAGACAUGCUUGCAAGACAAACAAUACAUUAUCCAGCACAUUCUAUGGGAAGGAAACACGCAAGCAGAUCAUUUGGCAAACAGAGCUAUUGACAAGGGAAAUUGCUCAUACACAGAGUUUAACAGUCUAGAAAUAGAGGGGAGGAGGAUUAUAAACAGCGACAAAUUACUAUGUCCAUAUUUAACAGUAUCACCAACAAAGGGAUAAGGGGCCUGGACAGGCUACAACACAAAUUUUCACAAGCAACAUCUCCCAGCAGACAAGAUCCAACAAAGAACAUCGAGCAUGACUCAUAGAACUUGAGAACACCGCUGAGAAAGAACAGGGAAGUCAGCAGCAAUAAAAAAUCCAAAACAAGAAACUAUACUACUUACUCUAGUUAGCUGACAUACUAGCAUCCAUGACCAACAUCACCAUAAUAUUGAUAACCCACAACAAAAGAAGGCGGAGACAUGGAUUAGUCCAAGGAGGUAGCAGGUCUCAAGUGAAGAAGAGAUGGCGAGGUAAAGGAGGAGACUGGAGAAGGCGGCGAGGGGAAAUGAGGAGGCCUUAAUUAGGAAACCCUGCCUUAGUUAGAUUUAUAGGCC
This 696-nucleotide long non-coding RNA is filed under the name Solanum tuberosum (potato). Its description in RNAcentral is "long non-coding RNA (STUB_LNC004274)". Lineage: Eukaryota; Viridiplantae; Streptophyta; Magnoliopsida; Solanales; Solanaceae. The record is from RNAcentral.